AGAAUAGGCACUCCGAGUUAUUGAACAUGGGAGCGCAAGUACUGUAUAUAUACAGUUAUAUAUGAUAUCUUGCUAUUAAACCUCAUCUUAAUAAAGCUAAGCAGCUUGUAACUGAAAUAAGUUUUCUUCUGAGGCUAAAACUUUCAUUCCAGGUUCAGAACCAAAAGAUAUCAUGAACACUAUGAUAUUUCUUGGCUCUUUAGUCAUCAGUAGAAAAAGUUGCAUUCUAAAUUACAAGAAUAUAAGACUCCUUAUGCGUGGAAUUUCAUGAAUUUUCAGUAUGAAUCAUUAUUUUUGUAAAUAGUUGAGUCUGCUGAAGAGGAGGGGGAAAAUGGCGCACUUAGAGACACUUGGAGUUAGAUUUGCAAGAAACAUCAAUUACGCUUGUGUCUAUAGUAAAAUGAAGAUGAAUACAUUUGGCACAUAAAUCAGCAGGUUUCAUACACCAAAAAAAAUUCCUGUACCUACUCGUAUCCACAAUCAAGCCAGACCAGACGUUUAACGUUUUUUUACUUUUCAACUCAACAAAUCAAGAUGAAGCUUUCAUCAAGUCCUUUUCUGAGCAAAAUACAGAGCUUAAACAGUGUCUGAAACAGAACACGUCAAACUGUUGCGAGAUCCCUUUGAAUGGAAUUACGGAGCCGGCGCUUUAAGUGAGUCUCACUGUUGAUGUUGGUAAAGAGUUCAUGUUUUACCGUUAAAAAUUGAACGAACACAGGUUCUUCUGCCAUGCAGAUGUCUGAGGUGCCUGCAUAUUUCAUGUAUAUAAUUUUUGACCACUCAGUAAUACAUAAAUUAAUAUACAUUUUUAUUUUUAUUUCCUCGCACUUUUUCUCUUUUCAUUCUUUCCUUUUGUUUUGAACUAUAUAUAUGUAGAUCAAUUAAUGAUACAUUCCUUCACUCCUAAGAUAUUUAAAACUCUCAAGAUAAAUGGAUUUGCAGCUCAUAAGCACUUCAGGUAAUUGAUCACACUUUGGAGUAAAAUCGUACGAAAAUCAUUUUGAGCAAGUCACAGGAAUCUAAAAUAUUAUUUACUCAAAAAAGUGCAAUUAAUGCAGCAUUUAGGUAUCACGUGCCUUUCUUUAAAUGUGCCGCGUAAAAUUUCUGCUUCCUGGUGACGAAGAGAGAAGUUUCAAUGGAUGCGGUGAAUUUGCGAGUAUUAAAUGCGGACAAAGCAAAAUGUGCUUUAAGGAUUAAAUUUUAAACAUUAAAAUAAAUAAGAAAAAUAAAAUAAAUAAAUAAAACAAAGAAAACAUAAAAAAACAAGUGAUCUCAAUUUGCACGAUUUUGUAAAAUGGAUAAUAGUUAAGCUUGGAUAGCUGGUAAUUUUUAUAUUUUCAAAUCCUCUCCUAAUGUAAUGAGAGGCGUUAUGUUACUUUAGACUUGCGACUGUUUCCAAAUCCGACUGAAUUGCCUUCAUAUUGCGUUGAUACAGCCCGCUCACACUCAUGUGCGUAUAGUUGCCGUUUAAAAUAUCAUUGAAUACUGCGCUCGACGAUGAAGGGGCUACGAACGACGUUUCUUUGUCGAGUCUAUUACGUCUAUACUCGUCGUGUAUUCGAGGACUUUUUUAUAUUAUACAGAGGAAACUAAAGGUUAAUAGUCAUUAAUCAUUCUUAUUAUAUGUUUUGUAAGACCGUAUUGAGGUUUGCUUACAAAAAUCAUGCGUGCUUUUAGGUCAGGAGGUUUUCCAUGCAGCAAUGUACAAGUUUGACACACAGGAAUUAGGUUUCACUUAGGUUUUUUUGUACAGUUUUUGUAAUUAGUAGUUGCUUCCCAAUAUUUUAGUAUUUUUCUUAUCUAAUACGUUAUUUUGAAAUAAAUGUUUA
This 1829-nucleotide long non-coding RNA is filed under the name Bemisia tabaci. RNAcentral describes it as "lncRNA ENSSSA2NGG003486". Lineage: Eukaryota; Metazoa; Arthropoda; Insecta; Hemiptera; Aleyrodidae. The record is from RNAcentral.